Symphalangus syndactylus (siamang) is the source of this 417-nucleotide long non-coding RNA. RefSeq lists it as uncharacterized. Lineage: Eukaryota; Metazoa; Chordata; Mammalia; Primates; Hylobatidae. The record is from RefSeq and is a predicted model, not a curated record.
AAAUCUUAUAAUGCAGAAUGACUCUGGGAUAUGCAAUAUAUUUCUAUUCAUUAAACAUUUUCAGGCACUGUGAAAGACACUUGGAAUGUAAAUAAAUGUUACAUAUGUGCCCUCAAGGAUCUCACAAUCCAGAGAAAGAAGUUAACAAGCUGAUCUUAAAACUAAUACAGAAAUGCAAGAGACACAAAAUAGUCAAAGCAAUGUUAAUAAUGAAGAACAAAGUUGAAGGACUCACGCUUCCUAAUUUCCAAACUUACUACAAAACAACAGUUAUAAAGAAAGAAUGAUACAGGCAUAAAGGUUGGAGUCCAGUGGCGCAAUCAGGGUUCACUGCAGCUCCCACCUUCCUGGACUCAAGUGAUCCUCCCACCUCGGCCUCUCAAAGUGCUGGGAUUAUGGGCAUGAGCCACCCCACCU